RNAcentral lists this ribosomal RNA (465 nucleotides) under uncultured Aeromonadaceae bacterium. RNAcentral describes it as "bacterial SSU rRNA". It matches the Rfam family "Bacterial small subunit ribosomal RNA", at positions 338 to 795 of the family's 1533-position model. The record is from RNAcentral. Lineage: Bacteria; Pseudomonadati; Pseudomonadota; Gammaproteobacteria; Aeromonadales; Aeromonadaceae.
CCUACGGGGGGCUGCAGUGGGGAAUAUUGCACAAUGGGGGAAACCCUGAUGCAGCCAUGCCGCGUGUGUGAAGAAGGCCUUCGGGUUGUAAAGCACUUUCAGCGAGGAGGAAAGGUCAGUAGCUAAUAUCUGCUGGCUGUGACGUUACUCGCAGAAGAAGCACCGGCUAACUCCGUGCCAGCAGCCGCGGUAAUACGGAGGGUGCAAGCGUUAAUCGGAAUUACUGGGCGUAAAGCGCACGCAGGCGGUUGGAUAAGUUAGAUGUGAAAGCCCCGGGCUCAACCUGGGAAUUGCAUUUAAAACUGUCCAGCUAGAGUCUUGUAGAGGGGGGUAGAAUUCCAGGUGUAGCGGUGAAAUGCGUAGAGAUCUGGAGGAAUACCGGUGGCGAAGGCGGCCCCCUGGACAAAGACUGACGCUCAGGUGCGAAAGCGUGGGGAGCAAACAGGAUUAGAUACCCCAGUAGUC